RNAcentral lists this ribosomal RNA (433 nucleotides) under uncultured bacterium. Its description in RNAcentral is "partial 16S ribosomal RNA". It matches the Rfam family "Bacterial small subunit ribosomal RNA", at positions 29 to 507 of the family's 1533-position model. The record is from RNAcentral.
AACGAACGCUGGCGGCAUGCCUAACACAUGCAAGUCGAACGAGACCUUCGGGUCUAGUGGCGCACGGGUGCGUAACGCGUGGGAAUCUGCCCUUGGGUUCGGAAUAACAGUUGGAAACGACUGCUAAUACCGGAUGAUGACGUAAGUCCAAAGAUUUAUCGCCCAAGGAUGAGCCCGCGUAGGAUUAGCUAGUUGGUGAGGUAAAGGCUCACCAAGGCGUCGAUCCUUAGCUGGUCUGAGAGGAUGAUCAGCCACACUGGGACUGAGACACGGCCCAGACUCCUACGGGAGGCAGCAGUGGGGAAUAUUGGACAAUGGGCGAAAGCCUGAUCCAGCAAUGCCGCGUGAGUGAUGAAGGCCUUAGGGUUGUAAAGCUCUUUUACCCGGGAUGAUAAUGACAGUACCGGGAGAAUAAGCUCCGGCUAACUCCGUG